GAUGAACGCUGGCGGCGUGCCUAAUUCAUGCAAGUCGAGCGAACAGACGAGGAGCUUGCUCCUCUGACGUUAGCGGCGGACGGGUGAGUAACACGUGGAUAACCUACCUAUAAGACUGGGAUAACUUCGGGAAACCGGAGCUAAUACCGGAUAAUAUAUUGAACCGCAUGGUUCAAUAGUGAAAGACGGUUUUGCUGUCACUUAUAGAUGGAUCCGCGCCGCAUUAGCUAGUUGGUAAGGUAACGGCUUACCAAGGCGACGAUGCGUAGCCGACCUGAGAGGGUGAUCGGCCACACUGGAACUGAGACACGGUCCAGACUCCUACGGGAGGCAGCAGUAGGGAAUCUUCCGCAAUGGGCGAAAGCUUGACGGAGCAACGCCGCGUGAGUGAUGAAGGUCUUCGGAUCGUAAAACUCUGUUAUUAGGGAAGAACAAAUGUGUAAGUAACUAUGCACGUCUUGACGGUACCUAAUCAGAAAGCCACGGCUAACUACGUG
RNAcentral lists this ribosomal RNA (497 nucleotides) under uncultured bacterium. Its description in RNAcentral is "partial 16S ribosomal RNA". It matches the Rfam family "Bacterial small subunit ribosomal RNA", at positions 28 to 507 of the family's 1533-position model. The record is from RNAcentral.